AUUUGCUUCAUGCUGGCAUCUUUGUUUUUCCUUGCAGAAAAACUUCCUCUGUGCUCUAGAGAGACUGAGGAAAUGGAUCACUGAGGAUCAAGCUACUCUACAACGAAUUUUGCAUGACUAUUUGAAAUGUGUCAAAGCAAGGCGAACAUAGACUGUUACCCAGUCACAUCCAUGCAAUUCUGAAGAAAAUGCUCUGGCAGCUGGAUCUGGUGAAUCUUGGGCUGUGCUGUUAAUUCAGUCCAGAGGGACAAUGUUCUCUAAAGAUUUUGCAGGCAUUCUCUAGCUGGCAUUUUUACCACUUACUAGUGACUGUGAAUUACAGUAUUAGUAGGCUUUAGAAAAAUUUCGAUUGAAAUUCCUGUUUUUUAGCUGUAGUUCUGAUCUUCUUUAUAUAACUAGAGAAAGAAUAGUUGAAUAGCUGUGGAAAGUGAGAAAGCUUCUCUUUAACAGUCCUAGAGAACAAACAACAUUAUUUGUUUUUUUUUCUUGCCCAGUUGUUACAGCCUGAUCAAUACAAUUUAAUAUUUUGCUGAAUAUGUCUAGUUAAAAAAAAAAAGUAAA
This is a long non-coding RNA of Tympanuchus pallidicinctus (lesser prairie-chicken), 561 nucleotides long. RefSeq lists it as uncharacterized. The transcript has 2 exons. Lineage: Eukaryota; Metazoa; Chordata; Aves; Galliformes; Phasianidae. The record is from RefSeq and is a predicted model, not a curated record.